This 301-nucleotide ribosomal RNA is filed under the name uncultured bacterium. RNAcentral's name for it is "partial 16S ribosomal RNA". It matches the Rfam family "Bacterial small subunit ribosomal RNA", at positions 509 to 807 of the family's 1533-position model. The record is from RNAcentral.
CAGUAGCCGCGGUAAUACGAAGGGUGCAAGCGUUAAUCGGAAUUACUGGGCGCAAAGCGUGCGUAGGCGGUGAGUUAAGUCUGCUGUGAAAUCCCCGGGCUCAACCUGGGAAUGGCAGUGGAUACUGGCUCGCUAGAGUGUGUCAGAGGAUGGUGGAAUUCCCGGUGUAGCGGUGAAAUGCGUAGAGAUCGGGAGGAACAUCAGUGGCGAAGGCGGCCAUCUGGGACAACACUGACGCUGAGGCACGAAAGCGUGGGGAGCAAACAGGAUUAGAUACCCCCGUAGUCCCUGUCUCUUAUAC